Molecule: transfer RNA, 71 nt
Filed under: Heterocephalus glaber (naked mole-rat)
Lineage: Eukaryota; Metazoa; Chordata; Mammalia; Rodentia; Bathyergidae
Rfam family: tRNA
About the family: Transfer RNA (tRNA) molecules are approximately 80 nucleotides in length.
Source: Rfam by way of RNAcentral
GGGGAUGUAGCUCAGAGGUAGAGCACAUGCCUAGUAUAUGUGAGGCCCUGGGUUUGAUCCUAGCACUGCCA